UGCCUGUACCAUAACCGACACAGGUGGGUAGGUAGAGUAUACUAAGGGGCGCGAGAUAACUCUCUCUAAGGAACUCGGCAAAAUGACUCCGUAACUUCGGGAGAAGGAGUGCCUUAUUUAUAAGGUUGCAAUAACAAGAUCCAAGCAACUGUUUAUCAAAAACACAGGUCUCCGCUAAGUCGUAAGACGAUGUAUGGGGGCUGACGCCUGCCCAGUGCCAGAAGGUUAAAGAAGUUGGUUAGUGUAUGCGAAGCUGAUGACUGAAGCCCUGGUGAACGGCGGCCGUAACUAUAACGGUCCUAAGGUAGCGAAAUUCCUUGUCGGGUAAGUUCCGACCCGCACGAAAGGCGUAAUGAUUUGGAUACUGUCUCGGAGAGAGGCUCGGUGAAAUAGACUUGUCUGUGAAGAUGCGGACUACCUGCACCAGGACAGAAAGACCCUAUGAAGCUUUACUGUAACUUGAAAUUGGAAUUGGACUUUGCUUGCGCAGUAUAGGUGGGAAGCGUUGAAGAUAUUCUUGCGGGAGUAUUGGAGCUAUCAGUGAGAUACCACUCUUGUAAUGUUAGAUUUCUAACUUUGAACCAUAAUCUGGUCAAAGAACAGUUUCAGGUGGGCAGUUUGACUGGGGCGGUCGCCUCCCAAAUGGUAACGGAGGCGUACAAAGGUUUCCUCUGAACGGAUAGAAAUCGUAUCUAGAGUGUAAAGGCAUAAGGAAGCUUGACUGUGAGACCUACAAGUCGAGCAGGGACGAAAGUCGGUCUUAGUGAUCUGACGGUACUGAGUGGAAAGGCCGUCACUCAACGGAUAAAAGUUACUCUAGGAUAACAGGCUGAUCUCCCCCAAGAGUUCACAUCGAUGGGGAGGUUUGGCACCUCGAUGUCGGCUCAUCGCAUCCUGGGGCGGUAGUACGUCCCAAGGGUUGGGCUGUUCGCCCAUGAAAGCGGUACGCGAGCUGGGUUCAGAACGUCGUGAGACAGUUCGGUCCAUAUCCGGUGUAGGCGUUAGAAUAUUGAGAGGAGCCUUCUUUAGUACGAGAGGACCGAGAAGGUCACACCGCUGGUGUACCAGUUAUCGUGCCAACGGUAAACGCUGGGUAGCUAUGUGUGGAGUGGAUAACCGCUGAAAGCAUCUAAGUGGGAAGCCCACCUCAAGAUGAGUAUUCUCAUCACUAUAAGUGAGUAAGGUCGCGGUAAGACUAACCGUUUGAUAGGCAUUAAGUGUAAAUGUAGUAAUGCAUGUGCUGAGAUGUCCUAACAGACCGAGGAC
Molecule: ribosomal RNA, 1266 nt
Filed under: metagenome
Description: bacterial LSU rRNA
Rfam family: Bacterial large subunit ribosomal RNA
Source: RNAcentral